RNAcentral lists this ribosomal RNA (860 nucleotides) under Bacillus cereus. RNAcentral's name for it is "bacterial SSU rRNA". It matches the Rfam family "Bacterial small subunit ribosomal RNA", at positions 48 to 887 of the family's 1533-position model. Lineage: Bacteria; Bacillati; Bacillota; Bacilli; Caryophanales; Bacillaceae. The record is from RNAcentral.
GCUAUACAUGCAGUCGAGCGAAUGGAUUAAGAGCUUGCUCUUAUGAAGUUAGCGGCGGACGGGUGAGUAACACGUGGGUAACCUGCCCAUAAGACUGGGAUAACUCCGGGAAACCGGGGCUAAUACCGGAUAACAUUUUGAACUGCAUGGUUCGAAAUUGAAAGGCGGCUUCGGCUGUCACUUAUGGAUGGACCCGCGUCGCAUUAGCUAGUUGGUGAGGUAACGGCUCACCAAGGCAACGAUGCGUAGCCGACCUGAGAGGGUGAUCGGCCACACUGGGACUGAGACACGGCCCAGACUCCUACGGGAGGCAGCAGUAGGGAAUCUUCCGCAAUGGACGAAAGUCUGACGGAGCAACGCCGCGUGAGUGAUGAAGGCUUUCGGGUCGUAAAACUCUGUUGUUAGGGAAGAACAAGUGCUAGUUGAAUAAGCUGGCACCUUGACGGUACCUAACCAGAAAGCCACGGCUAACUACGUGCCAGCAGCCGCGGUAAUACGUAGGUGGCAAGCGUUAUCCGGAAUUAUUGGGCGUAAAGCGCGCGCAGGUGGUUUCUUAAGUCUGAUGUGAAAGCCCACGGCUCAACCGUGGAGGGUCAUUGGAAACUGGGAGACUUGAGUGCAGAAGAGGAAAGUGGAAUUCCAUGUGUAGCGGUGAAAUGCGUAGAGAUAUGGAGGAACACCAGUGGCGAAUGCGACUUUCUGGUCUGUAACUGACACUGAGGCGCGAAAGCGUGGGGAGCAAACAGGAUUAGAUACUCCUGGUAGUCCACGCCGUAAACGAUGAGUGCUAAGUGUUAGAGGGUUUCCGCCCUUUAGUGCUGAAGUUGACGCAUUAAGCACUCCGCCUGGGGAGUACGGCC